CGGGAUGUAGCGCAGCCCGGGUAGCGCACAUGAAUGGGGUUCAUGGAGUCGCAGGUUCGAAUCCUGUCAUCCCGACCA
This 78-nucleotide transfer RNA is filed under the name Candidatus Cloacimonadota bacterium. RNAcentral's name for it is "tRNA-Pro". It matches the Rfam family "tRNA". Rfam says of the family: Transfer RNA (tRNA) molecules are approximately 80 nucleotides in length. RNAcentral also lists the same sequence under 1 other name. The record is from RNAcentral. Lineage: Bacteria; Pseudomonadati; Candidatus Cloacimonadota.